Molecule: ribosomal RNA, 1960 nt
Filed under: Nonlabens xylanidelens
Lineage: Bacteria; Pseudomonadati; Bacteroidota; Flavobacteriia; Flavobacteriales; Flavobacteriaceae
Description: bacterial LSU rRNA
Rfam family: Bacterial large subunit ribosomal RNA
Source: RNAcentral
AUAAGCAAAUUAAGGGCGUAUGGGGAAUGCCUAGGCUCUCAGAGGCGAUGAAGGACGUGAUAAGCUGCGAUAAGUUGCGGGGAUCAGCACAUAUGAAUUGAUCCGCAAAUUUCCGAAUGGGGCAACCUGUUAUAUUGAAGAUAUAUCAUCCGAAAGGAAGCGAACCUGGUGAACUGAAACAUCUAAGUAGCCAGAGGAAGAGAAAACAAAAGUGAUUCCGCUAGUAGUGGCGAGCGAACGCGGAAUAGCCCAAACCAAUUAUGUUACGGCAUAAUUGGGGUUGUAGGACCGUAAUGUUUAAUGUGUAAUGAAUAGGAAUUUUCUGGAAAGAAAAACCAAAGAGGGUGAUAGUCCUGUACUGGUAAGUUACAUUAUUAAUAACGGUAUCCUGAGUAGUGCGGGGCACGUGAAACCCUGUAUGAAUCAAGCGGGACCAUCCGCUAAGGCUAAAUACUCCUGAGAGACCGAUAGUGAACUAGUACCGUGAGGGAAAGGUGAAAAGAACCCUGAAUAAGGGAGUGAAAUAGAUCCUGAAACCAUACGCUUACAAGCGGUCGGAGCCCAUUAAUUGGGUGACGGCGUGCCUUUUGCAUAAUGAGCCUACGAGUUACCGUUGUUAGCAAGGUUAAGGAUUUCAGAUCCGUAGCCGUAGCGAAAGCGAGUCUGAAUAGGGCGUAUAGUUAGCAGUGGUAGACGCGAAACCGUGUGAUCUACCCAUGGGCAGGGUGAAGCUGUGGUAACACACAGUGGAGGCCCGAACCGGUUGACGUUGAAAAGUCUUCGGAUGACCUGUGGGUAGGGGUGAAAGGCCAAUCAAACUCGGAAAUAGCUCGUACUCCCCGAAAUGCAUUUAGGUGCAGCGUUAAUUAAGUUUUAUAGAGGUAGAGCUACUGAUUGGAUGCGGGGCUUCACCGCCUACCAAUUCCUGACAAACUCCGAAUGCUAUAAAAUAGUGAUUAGCAGUGAGGGCAUGGGUGCUAAGGUCCAUGUCCGAAAGGGAAAGAACCCAGAUCAUCAGCUAAGGUCCCAAAAUGUAUAUUAAGUUGAAUAAACGAGGUUGUACUGCAUUGACAGCUAGGAUGUUGGCUUGGAAGCAGCCAUUCAUUUAAAGAGUGCGUAACAGCUCACUAGUCGAGCGGUAUGGCAUGGAUAAUAAUCGGGCAUAAAUAUACUACCGAAGCUAUGAAUUCGAAAGAGUGGUAGGGGAGCAUUCUAUAUACGUUGAAGGUAAUUUGUAAGAAUUUCUGGAGUUUAUAGAAACGAAAAUGUAGGCAUAAGUAACGAUAAAGAGGGCGAGAAACCUCUCACCGAAAGACCAAGGUUUCCUCAGCUAUGCUAAUCAGCUGAGGGUUAGUCGGGUCCUAACGCGUACCCGAAGGGGAAGUGGAUGGACAACAGGUUAAUAUUCCUGUACCUGCUCAUAAUAAAAGUGACGGAGGUGUGAAUCUAGUGCGUACUGACGGAAUAGUACGUUGAACCAAUUUUUAAGAUUGGGAUAGUACCAUGAGGUUACGACUGAUUGGAUAAUCUAGAGUAGCAACUUCCAAGAAAAGCAAAUGAAGCAGCCCGUACCUUAAACCGACACAGGUGGUUGGGAUGAGAAUUCUAAGGUGCUCGAGUGAUUCAUGGCUAAGGAAUUAGGCAAAAUUGACCUGUAACUUCGGAGAAAGGUCCCCUAUUUAUAAUAGGGCGCAGUGAAAAGAUCCAAGCGACUGUUUAUCAAAAACACAGGGCUCUGCUAAAUCGAAAGAUGAUGUAUAGGCCUGACACCUGCCCGGUGCCGGAAGGUUAAGAGGAGGGUUUAGCUUCGGCGAAGAUCUCAAUUGAAGCCCCGGUAAACGGCGGCCGUAACUAUAACGGUCCUAAGGUAGCGAAAUUCCUUGUCGGGUAAGUUCCGACUGCACGAAUGGUGUAACGAUUUGGAUACUGUCUCAGCCAUGAGCUCGGUGAAAUUGUAGUA